Non-coding RNA from Myodes glareolus (Bank vole), 886 nucleotides. The record is from RefSeq and is a predicted model, not a curated record. Lineage: Eukaryota; Metazoa; Chordata; Mammalia; Rodentia; Cricetidae.
UCCAACUCUCUAUCCCUACUACCGAAACGCAACCCAUCCUACCGGGCUCCAUCACACACCUCUUCGUAUCUUCAACCACUUCCUGGCUCCUGAGUAUCAAAUACACUCUCGUCUCUUGCAUCCUAAAAUAAGCCCCCAAGCACGGAUUUCUUUCUCAGGAGAGCGAGAGAACUUAUGUAGCCAUAUUUACUCCGCGCUCGUGCCUAUUCCCUCCUUAUUCUGUUACUCAGGAGUGUUAUCUCCUUUUUCUGAAAAGGAUGCUGUGGGUCAAAGAAGUUAGGGCGUGGGUGCCCCUAGCAUUUGCAGAGCCGAGGGCAAAAGAAGAAACGGAAAUUGAUAAAUCGUGUGUGUUAAUAUCUAAAAGCUAUCUGUCAAAUCACAAUACUAAAGUGUUUAGCUUCCUUUUCACAAACACACAUUCAUAAAGAUGCAGAAAUGGCGAGAUAGACAAGCAGGUGAAGGCUCUUAAUGAACAAGCUUGAUAAUCUGAGUUGGAUACCCAGAACCCGCACGGAAAAGUCAGAUGCAGAGCCUCGCGUCUGUAAUCCCAGCACUUCUGUGGCAAAAAUGGGAGGAGGAAAUGAGAAUCAUGAGGGCCAUGUAGCAGAGGGACAGAAACAAGACGGACCCACAUGGAAUGAGAGAACCCACUCCUGAAAGUUGUCCUCUGAUCUCAACAAGCAUGCGGCCACAUAUGUGUGUCUUCUGCUGCGUGCACGCGCACGCACACGCACGCACACACACGGAGCUAAGGAUGCAGGCAUGGACUACCAUACCCAGCCCUGAACUGGUCCCUGCGAGGAGACAAGUACCCAACCACUAAGGUGUGCCUCCCAUAGUUACACUUAAAGCAGGUAACUUUAAAAAUACAUAUGAUUGAAUCUUU